Molecule: ribosomal RNA, 255 nt
Filed under: uncultured bacterium
Lineage: Bacteria
Description: partial 16S ribosomal RNA
Rfam family: Bacterial small subunit ribosomal RNA
Source: RNAcentral
UACGUAGGGUGCAAGCGUUUGUCCGGAAUUAUUGGGCGUAAAGAGCUCGUAGGCGGUUUGUCGCGUCUGCUGUGAAAACCCGAGGCUCAACCUCGGGCCUGCAGUGGGUACGGGCAGACUAGAGUGCGGUAGGGGGAGAUUGGAAUUCCUGGUGUAGCGGUGGAAUGCGCAGAUAUCAGGAGGAACACCAAUGGCGAAGGCAAUGUUCUGGCUCGUUUCUGACGCUCAGGUGCGAAAGCCAGGGGAGCGAACGGG